UACGGAGGGGGCUAGCGUUGUUCGGAAUUACUGGGCGUAAAGCGCACGUAGGCGGACCAUCAAGUUAGGGGUGAAAUCCCGGGGCUCAACCCCGGAACUGCCCUUAAGACUGCUGGUCUGGAGUUCGAGAGAGGUGAGUGGAAUUCCGAGUGUAGAGGUGAAAUUCGUAGAUAUUCGGAGGAACACCAGUGGCGAAGGCGGCUCACUGGCUCGAUACUGACGCUGAGGUGCGAAAGCGUGGGGAGCAAACAGG
Molecule: ribosomal RNA, 253 nt
Filed under: uncultured bacterium
Lineage: Bacteria
Description: partial 16S ribosomal RNA
Rfam family: Bacterial small subunit ribosomal RNA
Source: RNAcentral